AGCCUGAUGCAGCGACGCCGCGUGAGGGAUGGAGGCCUUCGGGUUGUAAACCUCUUUCGCCAGUGAAGCAGGCCUGUCCCUUUUGUGGGUGGGUUGACGGUAGCUGGAUAAGAAGCGCCGGCUAACUACGUGCCAGCAGCCGCGGUAAUACGUAGGGCGCGAGCGUUGUCCGGAAUUAUUGGGCGUAAAGAGCUCGUAGGCGGCUGGUCGCGUCUGUCGUGAAAUCCUCUGGCUUAACUGGGGGCUUGCGGUGGGUACGGGCCGGCUUGAGUGCGGUAGGGGAGACUGGAACUCCUGGUGUAGCGGUGGAAUGCGCAGAUAUCAGGAAGAACACCGGUGGCGAAGGCGGGUCUCUGGGCCGUUACUGACGCUGAGGAGCGAAAGCGUGGGGAGCGAACAGGAUUAGAUACCCUGGUAGUCCACGCCGUAAACGUUGGGCACUAGGUGUGGGGGGCCUUUUCCGGGUCUUCCGCGCCGUAGCUAACGCAUUAAGUGCCCCGCCUGGGGAGUACGGCCGCAAGGCUAAAACUCAAAGGAAUUGACGGGGGCCCGCACAAGCGGCGGAGCAUGCGGAUUAAUUCGAUGCAACGCGAAGAACCUUACCAAGGCUUGACAUGUGCCGGUCGGCUCCGGGGACGGGGUUUCCUCCUUGUGGGGCCGGUUCACAGGUGGUGCAUGGUUGUCGUCAGCUCGUGUCGUGAGAUGUUGGGUUA
This 713-nucleotide ribosomal RNA is filed under the name Actinomyces sp. oral taxon 175. Its description in RNAcentral is "bacterial SSU rRNA". It matches the Rfam family "Bacterial small subunit ribosomal RNA", at positions 380 to 1082 of the family's 1533-position model. The record is from RNAcentral. Lineage: Bacteria; Bacillati; Actinomycetota; Actinomycetes; Actinomycetales; Actinomycetaceae.